RNAcentral lists this ribosomal RNA (222 nucleotides) under uncultured bacterium. Its description in RNAcentral is "partial 16S ribosomal RNA". It matches the Rfam family "Bacterial small subunit ribosomal RNA", at positions 524 to 745 of the family's 1533-position model. The record is from RNAcentral.
UACGUAGGGGGCAAGCGUUGUCCGGAUUUAUUGGGCGUAAAGAGCGUGUAGGCGGCCAGACAGGUCAGCUGUGAAAACUCGAGGCUCAACCUCGAGACGUCGGUUGAAACCGUCUGGCUAGAGUCCGGAAGAGGAGAGUGGAAUUCCCGGUGUAGCGGUGAAAUGCGCAGAUAUCGGGAAGAACACCCGUGGCGAAGGCGGCUCUCUGGGACGGUACUGACG